This is a long non-coding RNA of Esox lucius (northern pike), 860 nucleotides long. The record is from Ensembl. NCBI's taxonomy places the organism in Eukaryota, Metazoa, Chordata, Actinopteri, Esociformes, Esocidae.
UCGUUUGGCCUUGUAGAUCCUGAUCCAUAUGGAAUAGGGCUCUGUGUGUCAUUUGUUUGGCCAUGUUCCGAUUUUCUUUCACAGAUUGAAAAAAUGGGGGGGAAAACACUCAUAUCUGAAGGUUUUAGUAGAAUACAUACAUGAUGCUUUAUGGCCAUAAUCAGCAGACUCCUUUCUGCAUGUAGCUUAAUUCCAGUAUAAGCCUUAAUCCAUAUGUUUCUUUCUGCUGCACACAUUAAUUUGAUUGAUCCAUUAUAUGAACUACUUUGUUGUUAAUAUUUAAAAGGUUAUUGCCAGAAGAUUGUGUCAUCAACAUCAUCGCUACAGCAACCACCACCUCUGUUUAUGUCCUAUAGCAAUACAUUUAGUUUACUUAGAACAUUUAUCUUUGAUUCUUGUAAUGGCACCACCACUUACCAGUGGACUUUCCAUCUGCAAAUCAAAAAAUGGCUUUAAAUUAAAGAGUAUGGUUUUAUUUACAACAUGAACAUAAGUUAUUCCAUUUUAGAGAAGAGUCUUCCAACAAUAUCAGGUCAGAUUUAAAUCACAGGCAUGCCUACAAGCCAAGAAAUCCAUUUCAGAUAUAUUAAAUGUGGUUCAAAUCAAGUUUCUAGACAGACUGGCAGACGAGUCAGGCAGGCAGGCAGACAAGGAGUCAGGCAGGCAGACAAGGAGUCAGGCAGGGAGUCAGGCAGGCAAGGAGGCAGGCAGGCAGGGAAGGAGGCAGGCAGGCAGGCAGGGAAGGAGGCAGGCAGGCAAGGAGGCAGGCAGGCAGGCAGGGAAGGAGGCAGGCAGGCAGGGAAGGAGGCAGGCAGGCAGGCAGGGAAGGAGGCAGGCAGGCAGGGAAGGAGGCAGGCAGG